AACGAACGCUGGCGGCAGGCUUAACACAUGCAAGUCGAACGCCCCGCAAGGGGAGUGGCCGACGGGUGAGUACCGCGUGGGAACAUACCCUUUUCUACGGAAUAGCUCUGGGAAACUGGAAUUAAUACCGUAUACGCCCUACGGGGGAAAGAUUUAUCGGGGAAGGAUUGGCCCGCGUUGGAUUAGCUAGUUGGUGGGGUAAAGGCCUACCAAGGCGACGAUCCAUAGCUGGUCUGAGAGGAUGAUCAGCCACAUUGGGACUGAGACACGGCCCAAACUCCUACGGGAGGCAGCAGUGGGGAAUAUUGGACAAUGGGCGCAAGCCUGAUCCAGCCAUGCCGCGUGAGUGAUGAAGGCCGUAGGGUUGUAAAGCUCUUUCAACGAUGAAGAUAAUGACGGUAGUAGGAGAAGAAGCCCCGGCUAACUUCGUG
RNAcentral lists this ribosomal RNA (431 nucleotides) under uncultured bacterium. RNAcentral describes it as "partial 16S ribosomal RNA". It matches the Rfam family "Bacterial small subunit ribosomal RNA", at positions 29 to 507 of the family's 1533-position model. The record is from RNAcentral.